GGUCCCCCACCAAGCGCAGGACCCCCCGUCCCCGCCCAGGCUCAAGUGCAUGUGCUUUCUUCUCUUUUACAGUUCCUCGGGGGCCUGUGUGGAAUAAAACACAAUUCUUUAUCUGACUGUUAGGAGAGGGAAGAGAAGACUCCUCAGGGUUUCCAAAGAGGUCCGGGCUGGCUACCUUAUUUUAAAGAAAAUACAAGAACAAUGGCAGCAAGAGCUUGGAUUUAUAAGAUUGUUUGCCAAAGACAUUGAUAAUUGUAAUGUCCUUGAGGGCGGGGCCCGUAUUUGUAUGUCCAGAAUUUAGCACACUGCCUAGUACAUAGUAAGUGCUUACUAAAUAUUUAUUAAUUA
Molecule: long non-coding RNA, 348 nt
Filed under: Phascolarctos cinereus (koala)
Lineage: Eukaryota; Metazoa; Chordata; Mammalia; Diprotodontia; Phascolarctidae
Description: lncRNA (ENSPCIG00000035023.1)
Source: RNAcentral